AUUAGAUACCCUGUUAUUGUUAGUGUAAACUUUGGUUUAAGCGUCUACUGGGGUACUACGAGCAUUAGGCCUAAUAGACUAUGGGUUAGUAGUAAUAUAAGGCUUUAAGGGUUUAAAACUCAAAAAACUUGGCGGUGCUUUAAGCCUAUCUAGGGGAACCUGCCUCUUAAACUGAUAGUCCACAUUUUAUCUGACCUUAUCUUGAGCCUGGUGGUAGAUUGUUACUUAAUGAUGAACUAGUUUUAGGUCAGCGGGUUAACAGCCUGUAUAUCGUCGUCGACAGGUUGUCUUGAGAGAGAAUAGAAACUGCCAAAAUGAAAAUGGGGCUAGUUGGGCUAAAAUGUCUGUAUGUUAGUGCACGGCCUUGUUGUCUCAGGAAGUCAUGAUCGUGAUGCAGUUGAUGAUAAGGGGAGGGUGGGUUACAAUGAUUUAAUUUAUAGAUGCGGAUGUUGUCUUGAAAGGGACGGGUAGAAGUUGGACUUAGUAGUAAUUGUGAUUAGGUAUUAAUUAGGAAGUCGCG
Molecule: ribosomal RNA, 520 nt
Filed under: Clypidina notata
Lineage: Eukaryota; Metazoa; Mollusca; Gastropoda; Lepetellida; Fissurellidae
Description: partial 12S ribosomal RNA
Source: RNAcentral